ACAUAAAUUGUUAAAUAGUUACAUAUAUAUAUAUAUAUAUAUAUAUAUAUAUAUCAAAACAGAGUAUAAACAAAAUGAUAAGAGUAAAGGGCAUAUUAUACCAUCUUUCUUUAUUCUUGGUUUUGGUACUAUUUGUAAGUAAAAAUGGAGUAGGAGGUAAAAAGUUUCAAGGCAAUUUUAGUAUAAAUAAGAAAGAAAAAAUACAUUAUUUAACAAAAUUUAGUUGUAAUAUUGGUACAUGUGAAUUUAUUAUUAAAAUGAAACUAAAAGAUAAUAUCUUUGCAAUAUUGCUUGAUACAUAUCAUAAAAUGAAUAACAAAGACUCAGAUAGUAAUAUCGGUAAUAAUAAUGGUAAUAAUACAAGUGAUAGUGAAAAAAAAAUAUUACAUAUGAACUUUGAUAAUGCAUAUUAUGUAUUAACUAACACUGUGGUAAUACCUAAAUUUCAAAGAAUUACUGUAAUGCAAGAUAAUGAACAAAAAUUAAUAAAGCCAAAUAAUAAAUGUUACUCGUUAAGUCUUUUACGUAAUGUACAUAAAUUUAAUAUACCUUUUUAUUUCAAAUAUUAUGAUUUAAUAAACAUAAAAACAUACAAUUUAAAACAUUUUUUAAAUCCUAAAUACUCUCUAACAUUACACUCUAUGUUUCAUGAAUUACAAAAUAAUAAAAAAUUACAAUCCGAAAUUUUGAAUAAAAGUGCUGCAAUUAAUGUAUUUUAUGAUCGUUAUGGGUAUAAACAAAUAAAUGCGAAAAUACACAAUCGUGUUCAUGUAAUGUUUGUAAUGUUUGAUGAUUGUUAUGAUAGUUUUAUUAAUAAUUUAAAAAGCAAUAUAAAAUCAAAGUUAGCAUAUUGGGAAUAUUUAAAAGAAGCAUCUAAAAAUGUUGAUAUAUCUAAUUUAUCAAUUAUGGAUAAAAUAGAUAUUGAUUCAAUAACAGAUCACGAUGAUAGAUUUUAUACUACUUAUAAUUUUAAUAAAGAUUCUCUUUUGUAUAAUCCUAAAAGACUUUUAUUUUUAGAAAAUAAAUACACAGAAAGUGAAUUAGCAGAUAUAUCUUUUUUUAUUAAAUUUCAUAAUUUUAAUAAUAUGAAGAAUUUUACCAAUAUGUAUAAUAAUUUAUAUAAAAGCGGAUAUUAUGAAAAAGUAAUUGAUUAUAUAUAUGAAAAUGAUGGAUUUAAAAUAGAAUAUGAAGUAAACAUAUUACAAACAAAUAAUUCCCAUUUUUCUUAUGAACUUUUAUAUUCUCCUUUUUUUACUUUCAUUUUAACUAUAUUAUAUAUUCUUCUAAUUUUAAAAUAUGGAAAUAAAAUUAUUGAAAAUGUAUUAUCACCUAAUGAAAAAAAAAAACAUACACUGGUUAUAUCUGUAGCUGUUGUAAUGUGUACAUAUUUAAUAGCCAACUCUCUAUUACUUACACAUUUGUUAGUAUAUUCAAGGAAUGGGGUUGGUAUACCAUUAUUAAAAAUUUCUUAUGAUAUACUCAAUUUUUUAUGCCAAAUUAUUAUGUGCACUAUGCUCCUCUCAUUGAGUUAUGGCUUAACAAUUUUUGAAGCAUCUUUUAAUAUUUACAGCAGAAUUAAAAUCAUAUUUAGUGUUAUUACUUUUUUCCACAUUGUUUUAGUCAUACUGGAUAAUAUUGCAAUAGGUGAUUCCUCAUCUAAAUAUUUCGACAAUGAUAAUAUAACAGGUUAUAUAAUACUAGGGUUAAGAAUAUUGUUAGCUAUGAUAUAUCAUAAUAAUUUAAAUAAUUUGUUUCUUAAGGCAAAAGUUCCACAAAUACGUAGUUUUUUAAAAAAUAUAUAUAUAUAUGGUUUAUUUUAUAUAUUAUCAUUUCCUAUAAUUUUUUUCGCUUGUUAUAUAUUUGAUACAUAUUGGAGACAAAGAUUUAUGUUAUUCGGAACAGCCUUUUUACAAUUCCUCUCUACUUAUUUUAUUACGAAAAUGCUCUUAACAAACUCUGAAUAUUUUAAAGUUUCAGACAUGUCAGCUAGCGAUUUACCUGGGGCUACUUCCAGUUUGUUUUUCGCUAAUAAAGUUCAUGAAUAUUAAAAAUAUGCCUACCACAUAUAUAUACAUAUAUAUACAUUACAUUACAUGUGCAUAAUUAUAUACCAUAUUAUAAUUCCUAUAUUAUGAUUCCUUUUUUUUGUUUUAUUAUCACUGUUGUUAUUAUAAAGUUUGUAAUUAUAAAUAAAAUAUUACUCAAUU
Molecule: long non-coding RNA, 2207 nt
Filed under: Piliocolobus tephrosceles (Ugandan red Colobus)
Lineage: Eukaryota; Metazoa; Chordata; Mammalia; Primates; Cercopithecidae
Description: lncRNA (ENSPTEG00000006656.1)
Source: RNAcentral